This 450-nucleotide long non-coding RNA is filed under the name Capra hircus (goat). RNAcentral describes it as "lncRNA (ENSCHIG00000006422.1)". Lineage: Eukaryota; Metazoa; Chordata; Mammalia; Artiodactyla; Bovidae. The record is from RNAcentral.
GGAUCAGCUGGUUUCUGGAGCUUGGCAGUGUGCUGGUAAGUCUAAAGAAUGUCAUUCAGGUUAUGAAAUGCAUCAGGUAUGCAUAUAAUGAUGUUUUUCCCCUGCAAAAUUUAGCAUGUUAGAUUUACCUCUUUGAUUUCCUUUUGUCUCCUUUCUGCAGGACGUGGUUUUAAAAGCCAGACCAAUAUAUACACAGUGAAUAGACAUAAUGAGUGAUUUUCCAAAAGAAAAUUCUUCUUUCAAGAAGAAAUAACUUGGAUCAGCCAAAAUUCAUCAAGACACCAUUUACUGGAGAAAAGUAUUUUCUCUGUAUCUGGAGAGUUGAAGACAGAAAUAAUGAUCAAGCAUUUCUCUGCUUUCCCCAUUCCAUGAUGAUAUGAUCUUCUUGAUGCUGAAUUUGGUUCAGAUCCAGGAAAGCCUAAUGUUGAAAAUAUCCCUUUAAACAGAGGU